This 666-nucleotide long non-coding RNA is filed under the name Brassica rapa (field mustard). RNAcentral's name for it is "long non-coding RNA (BRAP_LNC006654)". The record is from RNAcentral. Lineage: Eukaryota; Viridiplantae; Streptophyta; Magnoliopsida; Brassicales; Brassicaceae.
GGAAUCACAAACCUAACGACCGCCAAAAGGGAUAGGAACGUUGUCGGAGACAAAACAAGCAGUUCUUCACCGGAGGAUAAGGCAAAAACGUCGGAGUCAGUCCGGUUGGAUGAAACCGAAGCCGGAAAACAAAAACAUCGAUUUCUCUCACUCUCAAAACAAACUCAUACCUCUCUAAUUUUUUUUUGUGAUAAAAGAGGUAAAGAGAUCAAAAAAAAACUAUCUCAAUAAGAGGAGAGAGAUUUUUUGAGAUUUUUUUUUUACUUUUUUAAUGAAACAUUUUUUGGCUAUUUCUUUUUUUGUAAGUUUUAUUGGUGUAAAAAAAUAUUUUAAAGUUAAUUAAGUGAAUUAAUAUAUAUAUAUAUGAAGAAUUCAAUUAAAACUAAAAAGUAGAUGACGAAAUGCGUGACUAAGAAUAUUAAAGUUAAGUGGCUUUCGUUUCAUAACAUCAAAAAUAGAUACAUCUGACACAAAAGUGUAAGCUCGCAUUAAAACUAUAUGUUCUAGAAAACAUAUAUAAAUCGAAAAAGAAGAGAGGUUCCGUUUCCGCAUGACACGCCUGUUGCCGCUUAAGCUCUCUGUGGCUGCUUCUGCACGGCGUGCCGUAGUUCACGAAUCAUAUACUAUAUUUUUAUAUGCAUUCAUUCAUGAACGAGCUUUCGAAAG